GCUGGCGGCGGCUUACACAUGCAAGUCGAGCGGAAACGAAGGGAGCUUGCUCCCAGGCGUCGAGCGGCGGACGGGUGAGUAACGCGUAGGAAUCUGCCUGAUAGAGGGGGAUAGCCCGGGGAAACCCGGAUUAAUACCGCAUACGCCCUUAGGGGGAAAGGAGGGGCUCUUAGGACCUUUCGCUAUCAGAUGAGCCUGCGUAGGAUUAGCUAGUUGGUGUGGUAAAGGCGCACCAAGGCGACGAUCCUUAGCUGGUCUGAGAGGAUGAUCAGCCACACUGGGACUGAGACACGGCCCAGACUCCUACGGGAGGCAGCAGUGGGGAAUAUUGGACAAUGGGGGCAACCCUGAUCCAGCCAUGCCGCGUGAGGGACGACGGCCUUCGGGUUGUAAACCUCUUUUAGCAGGGAAGAAGCGAAAGUGACGGUACCUGCAGAAAAAGCACCGGCUAACUACGUGCCAGCAGCCGCGGUAAUACGUAGGGUGCAAGCGUUGUCCGGAAUUAUUGGGCGUAAAGAGCUCGUAGGCGGUUUGUCGCGUCUGCUGUGAAAAUCCGAGGCUCAACCUCGGACCUGCAGUGGGUACGGGCAAACUAGAGUGCGGUAGGGGAGAUUGGAAUUCCUGGUGUAGCGGUGGAAUGCGCAGAUAUCAGGAGGAACACCAAUGGCGAAGGCAGAUCUCUGGGCCGUAACUGACGCUGAGACGCGAAAGCGUGGGUAGCAAACAGGAUUAGAUACCCUGGUAGUCCACGCUGUAAACGAUGAGUGCUNAGGUGUCGCAGGCUUUGGACCCCUGCGGUGCCGG
Molecule: ribosomal RNA, 804 nt
Filed under: uncultured bacterium
Lineage: Bacteria
Description: bacterial SSU rRNA
Rfam family: Bacterial small subunit ribosomal RNA
Source: RNAcentral